UAUGACGGGUAUCCGGCCUGAGAGGGUGAUCGGACACACUGGAACUGAGACACGGUCCAGACUCCUACGGGAGGCAGCAGUAGGGAAUAUUGCUCAAUGGGCGAAAGCCUGAAGCAGCAACGCCGCGUGGAGGAUGAAGGUUUUAGGAUUGUAAACUCCUUUUGUUAGAGAAGAUUAUGACGGUAUCUAACGAAUAAGCACCGGCUAACUCCGUGCCAGCAGCCGCGGUAAUACGGAGGGUGCAAGCGUCACUCGGAAUCACUGGGCGUAAAGAGUGCGUAGGCGGGAAGGUAAGUCAGAUGUGAAAUCCUGUAGCUUAACUACAGAACUGCAUUUGAAACUACUUUUCUAGAGUGUGGGAGAGGUAGGUGGAAU
RNAcentral lists this ribosomal RNA (375 nucleotides) under uncultured Helicobacter sp. RNAcentral describes it as "bacterial SSU rRNA". It matches the Rfam family "Bacterial small subunit ribosomal RNA", at positions 275 to 667 of the family's 1533-position model. The record is from RNAcentral. Lineage: Bacteria; Pseudomonadati; Campylobacterota; Epsilonproteobacteria; Campylobacterales; Helicobacteraceae.